This 329-nucleotide long non-coding RNA is filed under the name Androctonus crassicauda. Lineage: Eukaryota; Metazoa; Arthropoda; Arachnida; Scorpiones; Buthidae. The record is from RNAcentral.
GUUUGUCGUGCAUCCGACCUGCAUGGUCUGUGUGUUCAUGGUGUUGCGGCCGGGAUGCUUGCUUUUUCCAUAUGCCUAGUGUUGCGUUGUGUGGGUGGCCAAACUUUGACCCUACUUCUAAGAUGUGUUGGAGCUCUUUGACUUUGUCUAUCCAUUUCGUGGCGUGGGUGGGGACCCUCGCGGCCAUGGCUCUGAGGGCCGCCAACUUGUGGGGCAUGGGGUCCAUCGACCAUGCUGGGAUGGCGGCGGGAACGUGUGUUGGCUUUCUGUGGAUGUUAGUGAUAUGUUCCCCCAUUUCAACAUGCACAGCUGUAUCGAGGAAAUGAAAU